GACGAACGCUGGCGGCGUGCCUAAUACAUGCAAGUAGAACGCUGAAGGAGGAGCUUGCUUCUCUGGAUGAGUUGCGAACGGGUGAGUAACGCGUAGGUAACCUGCCUGGUAGCGGGGGAUAACUAUUGGAAACGAUAGCUAAUACCGCAUAAUAGCAGUUGUUGCAUGACAACUGUUUGAAAGGUGCAAUUGCACCACUACCAGAUGGACCUGCGUUGUAUUAGCUAGUCGGUGGGGUAACGGCUCACCAAGGCGACGAUACAUAGCCGACCUGAGAGGGUGAUCGGCCACACUGGGACUGAGACACGGCCCAGACUCCUACGGGAGGCAGCAGUAGGGAAUCUUCGGCAAUGGACGGAAGUCUGACCGAGCAACGCCGCGUGAGUGAAGAAGGUUGUCGGAUCGUAAAGCUCUGUUGUAAGAGAAGAACGAGUGUGAGAGUGGAAAGUUCACACUGUGACGGUAUCUUACCAGAAAGGGACGGCUAACUACGUG
Molecule: ribosomal RNA, 495 nt
Filed under: uncultured bacterium
Lineage: Bacteria
Description: partial 16S ribosomal RNA
Rfam family: Bacterial small subunit ribosomal RNA
Source: RNAcentral